Molecule: non-coding RNA, 22 nt
Filed under: Xenopus tropicalis (tropical clawed frog)
Lineage: Eukaryota; Metazoa; Chordata; Amphibia; Anura; Pipidae
Also listed under: 7 other names
Gene: xtr-miR-143
Source: miRBase by way of RNAcentral
UGAGAUGAAGCACUGUAGCUCG